Molecule: ribosomal RNA, 492 nt
Filed under: uncultured bacterium
Lineage: Bacteria
Description: partial 16S ribosomal RNA
Rfam family: Bacterial small subunit ribosomal RNA
Source: RNAcentral
AUUGAACGCUGGCGGCAUGCUUUACACAUGCAAGUCGAACGGUAACAGGCCUUCGGGUGCUGACGAGUGGCGCACGGGUGAGUAAUGCAUCGGAACGUACCCAGAGGUGGGGGAUAACGCAGCGAAAGCUGUGCUAAUACCGCAUGUGAUCUGAGGAUGAAAGCGGGGGACCGAGCAGCAAUGUUUGGCCUCGCGCCUUUGGAGCGGCCGAUGUCGGAUUAGCUAGUUGGUGGGGUAAAGGCCUACCAAGGCGACGAUCCGUAGCUGGUCUGAGAGGACGACCAGCCACACGGGGACUGAGACACGGCCCAGACUCCUACGGGAGGCAGCAGUGGGGAAUUUUGGACAAUGGGCGCAAGCCUGAUCCAGCAAUGCCGCGUGCGGGAAGAAGGCCUUCGGGUUGUAAACCGCUUUUGGCAGGAACGAAACGGUGUCCGCUAAUACCGGGCGCUAAUGACGGUACCUGCAGAAUAAGCACCGGCUAACUACGUG